RNAcentral lists this ribosomal RNA (458 nucleotides) under uncultured bacterium. RNAcentral describes it as "partial 16S ribosomal RNA". It matches the Rfam family "Bacterial small subunit ribosomal RNA", at positions 338 to 795 of the family's 1533-position model. The record is from RNAcentral.
CCUACGGGAGGCAGCAGUGAGGAAUAUUGGUCAAUGGGCGAGAGCCUGAACCAGCCAAGUCGCGUGAGGGAGUACUGCCCUAUGGGUUGUAAACCUCUUUUGUCGGGGAGCAAAGGCCGGACGUGUCCGGCUGUGAGAGUACCCGAAGAAAAAGCAUCGGCUAACUCCGUGCCAGCAGCCGCGGUAAUACGGAGGAUGCGAGCGUUAUCCGGAUUUAUUGGGGUUAAAGGGUGCGCAGGCGGAUUUUUAAGUCAGCGGUCAAAUCGUGGGGCUCAACCCCAUCCAGCCGUUGAAACUGGGGAUCUAGAGUGCGCGAGAGGUAUGCGGAAUGCGUGGUGUAGCGGUGAAAUGCAUAGAUAUCACGCAGAACCCCGAUUGCGAAGGCAGCAUACCGGUGCACAACUGACGCUCAGGCACGAAAGCGUGGGUAUCGAACAGGAUUAGAUACCCCGGUAGUC